CUUGGGUAAUGAGCAGCUGCUGAGAAUUAGACUUGCCUGCCUUGAUCAAGACUGUGGUGAGAGCCUCUGCUAUCUCAUGAUUCCUCUUGCAAAAUAUUAAAAUGAAGCUGUUGCUGAAGAGUUGAAUAUAAAGUAGAAUUUCCAUAUAUACUCAGGUAUCAAGAAGCAUCUGAAUUAUCACCCAAAAUAAAGAACGAUU
Molecule: long non-coding RNA, 199 nt
Organism: Nyctereutes procyonoides (raccoon dog)
Lineage: Eukaryota; Metazoa; Chordata; Mammalia; Carnivora; Canidae
Exons: 3
Source: RefSeq, a predicted model, not a curated record